AGUGAAUGUAAAAAUGUGGAAUGAGAGGUGAGGGGAGGAGGAUAGCUGUGUACAGAGUCCAGCCAUGGGUUCUGCCAGCACUUCCCCUACCUUGUUUUCCCCCAGGCAAGGUAAACAUGUGCAGCAGCUUUAGAUCCAUGCUGGUUGCCUCCAGGCUGCUUAAUGGCCAGUGGAAAAUGAGUGAUGGCUGUUAGCCAGCUCCAUAACCACGGGCACUCACCUUCCUAAAUCCUUGAGAUGCCUGCAAGGAGGAGGAGGAGGCUCUGCUCAGGGCUGCCCAGGGCUCCUGCUGCCCUCCAGCAGAUGAUCAGCACUGGCAAUGUAUGGAAAGACACACCAGUGACCUUGAUUUUCACUGGGGGACAUCAAAGUCAUUCCAAGUUCUCCAUUUGACUGCUCCUGUAUGGAACAAACAAAGAAAAAUAUCCACUGAUUCUGAAAACUGAAUUGUGAAUCACGUUGAUGUCUUCCUGGACCUUCUUGAUGCCUCUCUUGUCUUCCUGGACCUAGGACCAGACUUAACAUACGACAAGAUGUCUUUGGGAGCAAGGUUGAAUUACAAGGCUUUUUUAGUCACAGGAGUUGCAAACCUUCCUUCACCUGCACCCUAGAAAUGGUGGGCACCUAGAAGUUGUCAGUUCUAGGUAGGCUGACGCUUGCACAGAGGAAUUGUGGACUGUGGUGGUUUUCAGCAGAAAAGGAGAUGUUGCUAAGGGGAAUUUGUGGGUGUAUGUCCUUAACUGCAGCACAGUGACAGCUCUUCAGUUACUGCUUUUGGCACCUCCUUCUAGUCUGUGCCUGCUCUGAAGUUUACAAUUUUCAUUUGAUUGGGAAACAUUUCUGCAAGGCCUUAUGGAAAAGUCAGCUGGGUGUUUCAUGCUGCUCCCUGCCAGGACCUAAGCACCAACACAGAAUUUUCCUGGUAUUGGUUAACACCAGUAACAAAGUACCAGCUGGUGUCUUCAGCACCUCAUGCAGAAAUUAAAACAAAUAUCUUAUAUUUCAGAAAACAGAUUGAAAAGGAAUAUAAGGCUGCAUGUUCUAGGGGCUGACUAAGAAAAUGAAUGCACAUGUUGAAUGUCUCAUGAAGAAAUGUGGAUGAGACUUCCCUGAAAGAGAGAAACUGUAGAGGAACCCAAAUACUUCAAACUUCAGAUACUACAGCCUUGAACAGCCUGGGAUGAGGUGUUGAGCAACACAGAGGCAGGAGAUCAUGGGGGGAACCUCUGUUCAGAUCACACCUGCAUUGAGAUGAGUUUUAGUUAUUAUUAUUUUAGAGUGUAGCUGCCAACUUAGCUCAAGCUAAUGUUGGUGAGAAAAUAGUCGUUAAUUCAAGGAGACUAUAGAUUUUCUUAAAUUAAUUAGCUGCUCAUUGAGAGUUGAAGAGAACAUAACUAAAAAUAAUUACAUAUGAAUUAUGAAGUUCAAAUAGAAUGUGUUACUUUGCUCACACAAAACUUCAAGGGAGACAAAUCAGCGAGGUUUAUUAGCAUAUUCUACUUUUUCCACAAACCUUACAAGGAAAGGAAAAUAUAAUAAUGUAAAGGAGUUGAAGAUUCAUGUUUCUAUAAUAGCUGUGUCUGCACCAUCCUACCUGUGAAAUUUAUUCUCUGUGGGUGGUGAUGCUGUUGAAUAGUUUUUAUUUCUCAGCCAUCUUUUUUUUCCCCUCUAAGCAGUUUUUUUGUGCAUGUCUAUUAACAUACCAUCCUCUCCUCCCUAGAACUCUCUUCAGCUGCACUACACCUGAACCAGGGGUCUUGCAGGGAGCAAAGGGCAGCACGCAAAACUGAGCAUAAACACACUUCCAAAAAUUCAUUUUUAUUUGAGCUCGUUCACUCUAAUUGUUCUCUCGAGGCUUGAUUUGGAGCACAGAGAAACCCAAAGGGGACUCACUGGGCUGUGGGUCAGUUUUCAGGUCACCUGUACAUGGCAAGUGGUGAAUAAUGAGCAGCACAGUGCCAGCCCCUUCGGCCUGACCCUGAGGAUGGAGGGAAGAAUUUGGCCACUGAUCUCCUCCAGUGCAGUCCCAGGGAUGGAGGGGAGCCCAGCCAGCCACUCCUUCUGCAGCUAAAGGCAGCCACAGACCUCAAUGCUCAGCAGGCUGGGACAUCAGCAUGUCUGAUCCAAGACUGGGGAUUCUGAACAUCACCACAGUAAUCAUGAUAAAGAAGGGGCAAAAGGAGCAUCCUGGCAGCACAAGAGAGAGAAACCUUCCAGGGUUCAGCUGACAGGUGGAUGUGACAGCAACAGGCUCAGUCUGAAAGAAAUGCACCUUCCCAAGCAUGAACAGCAACCAGAUGAGAUGUGUUGGUGCACCUGUCAAGAGCCCACUCUGGAACAGAAGAUCAGAGCGAAUGGGGGCUGAGGAGAACAAAAGCUGACCCAAACCUUUGACCUAAAUUUAACAUAAAGCCAAAAGAAACCUUAGAGCAUUUCCCAUUCCGUGAGCUGAGAGGGACCCGUACUGAUGGGACUGCUCCCCAGUUAUGGGGAUGGGCUACAUGAUGAGGAACAGAAGUUCUAUGUCCAUGCAACACGUACAGCAUCAAAUCUCAAGAGCAAUGCUCUAUUAGAGCACUGUCACAAGGACAUGCCAGGGACUGCCCAGAGACAAACAGAAAAUGAAAUGUAAGUGAUGCAGGGAAGCCAAGCCUGCUGUUAAUAGGCCAGCUUAUUUCAGACAUACUUGUCCCACCAUCAUCCUUCUGAAAUAUUUUAAUAGAAUCCCUGUGCAAAGGGAGACCUUAAUAAGAUGCCUAUUCCUGCCCUUCCUGAAACCACCACGUUCAUUUUUCAUCAAAACAUUCAACUGUGGUAACUUUUGGCUUUUAAUCUGAUUUAUGACCCUUUGAGAUGCCAUUGAGGUUAUAGUUGAGGCCCUUAAACUGGACAAAAUUAGUACCAAAUAUAAAUUUAAUUUGGUGAACUUAUGAUAAAAAUUAUAGAGAAAAAUCAGCACUGACAGGACAACUCUUACAUGAAAAAUUAUACUGAAAUUAGCAGAGUCCUCUGCAUCUAUACACAUUUCUUCUAGCAGAUAUUCUGCCUGUCCUCCUUUGGGGCAACUACUUUUGAUCAAAAUGCUGCAGACAAAAAAGGUGGUCCUCAUUUUGUAGUGCUUGUUUUAGGUGAACAAAAUUGUCUUCUGUCUUUAGAUAUUUAAUGACUAUUUGAAAGCAACUUGAUGAAUAGAAGACCAUGUACUCCCACUUGGGGCAAAUGUAUUUUUCAGUGAUUUAUAAUAAUUAAUCCUUGUCUAAAUGGAAUGCAUUAAUUUCUCCUACUGGUGGUGAGUGUACUUCUGUUUCUUUUCCUAAGUGAGAUGGUUCUGCUCUAGAGGCAUAUUUCCUGAUUAAAUUGGACUGCAACCGGGUACUUAGGUUAUGUCACUGUUACCCAAAUGAUCUUUUAAAGAACACAGAGUACUUGUUUUUGCUUCUCUUGCGUGCUCCACAUUUAAUCACAGAUCUUUGUAGCUUGUUAUUUCUAAAAUUCAGAUUACUGUGACUUAAAAGCCUCUCUGUCCUUGCCAGUGCUUGGUGACAUAAAAUAAACCCACAUAUUAAGAAAAGAACCACAAAGCUUGUCAAGCUGCACUGAGGAAUGGAAAGGAAAAGCAAGAAUGCUUUACAGCCUUUCGAAAACGCCGUCUGCAGCACAGCUAUAAAGGGAAAUGCUGUAAUAAGUUGAUAUUAUCCAUGUAGGCAGAACUGCAUUUCUGAGAGGGCUGUUACCCACAGCAGUGCCCCUGGGGCACCCUGUUGAGUGUGGUGUCCCAGGGCACGGGUGAGGCACAGACACCCAGCAGGAGCAGGUUCAUGCCCUGAGGAACGUGCAAUUGCCACUGGGCAGCAGGAGUGGGUAGGGGAAAACAGAGGGAAAGAUUCCCCACCAGUCUCCUGCUGCUCCUUGGCGAGAACAGCCACCAAACCCCCGUUUGCUUCUCCCCACCCUUCUGUGGGCUGGUCGACACCCUCGGGCCCACUUGUGGCUGGCCCUGAGCCACCAGCACAGAGCAGAGUGUCUGUUGCCGUUUUCCUCCCACUGCCUCCUCAUCCUCCUCCUGGUCACUGGGGACUGCAGCGGGAUGGAGACAGAGCUGGCAUGGCCUCAGCGCUUGAUGGACUGAAGCGCUCCAAGCAAGUUCCUUUUUUAGUAAAAUUGCUUUGUUCCAAAAGCGCUGCACAGCAAAGCCCGCUCACCCCGUGCCUCCCUCCCUGCUCUCGGCCUGCUGGAGGUGCCAGGGUGAUGUGUCAGAAAUAUUCCUCUUCCCUGGAGAUGGAACACCUCGGGUCUGGCACCCUGUGUCCCAUACCCCAGUUCAGUGUUAGGUUUCCCCAGGACAAGUGUCCUGUCCUCCAGCCCCAUCACGUCCCUCUCUGGUGAGGCCUGGUGGCAGCAUUGCUCCUUUGUUCUUUUAAAACAUGGCAUCUAAGGAAUGGACAGAAACCAACAGCUCUUUUUUUUUUUCUUUUUGGCCUGGGAUAACAAAUAGCUUGUGUGCAGCUGUAAAACACUGCACUUGGGCAGGGUUUUGCUGGCUGCAGGAUGAAGGGCUCUGCACAUCUUCAUUAGUUCCUUCCACAGCCAGUUUAGCCUUUUGCUUGCUGCUCCUCCACAGCCCACAGUGGUGCUUCUGGGGCAUGGCUGGGUGCCAGGGAGGAAAUUUAUACCAAGUGGUGAUGGGGCCAACUACCUGUCUCUGAGUUUGGUUGUGCUCCAUUCCCAGUUCUGAUGCCUUCCAGUUUCAGAUAGGGAUUUGGCCCUAAGUCUUUGCCAGUGUUGCAUCACAUGAACUUGUGGUGAAAAUUUCCACAUUUCCUUGUCCAGACAAACAGCUCUUCCAGGCCAGAUAAUAGUUUGGGAUGGGGGUGACUGAUACCAAGCUGGCCUCAAUGGAGAUGCCCAAGGAAGGCAGUGUGCACAAGGGUUGUGAGGAGUGAGUGGGUGGACAGAGACCAGAACCAGGUAAAAGGGGCUUUAGUUAGAAUAUGGGUGUCAGGGAGAUGUUGGGAGCUAAUGAGCUGCUAACAAGGCUGAUAAAGAAAGUGUGGAGAUAAAUACAAUGAGAAUUAAGCAGGACAGAUGGUUGGACACUGGGUUUGGGGAUCUACAAAGACAUAUACAGUGAACAUAAAACUGGAAUGGAAUUAGGGUGGACAGGACAAUCUUACAUAAGAGAUGAGGUUGCAAGGAGGGGCUGCAGGUAAGAAGGGGCAGACUUACAUUCAAACAUUUAAUGAACUACUGUUUCCUAUCAGCAGUUGUUUUUUCCAGUGUCUGUUUGGAGCUCCUGGUUUAGCUCUGAGCCCUGGCAAACGGUCCCUGCCUCUCCCAUUCCAGAGGCCACCUGCAUCUCUGUUAGAACAUAGAGAAGGUGCCUCCACAUGCACUGUCUGUGUGGCUGCAUGAGCAGUGAGAGUGGGUGAGAGUGACUCUGGUUUGGGGGAAUCAUGUGCUGCACAGUGAUGCCAUCCUUGGUGAUGUGACAGGGUAUUGCUGGGUGUUGAGGCAGGAUUUGUAUUUUUCUUUAUAUUUUGUUUAUUUAUUUCUAAAUAAAUAGUCUCCUGCCAUGCUGGCUGGCUCUGCUCUAGUGCUAGAUCUCAGACAUAGCAUGUUAUCUUCCAGAUUCCUCUUCCUGGGUGAUGGAAGGUGAGUGUGGGACCUCAAGGCAAGGCAAGAUGUCCUGUGAUUUAGGUCUCUUGAAUCUGAAUGCCCUCCCAAUGAACUGGGUUCAGUUUCAUCACUUACCCGUGAUUAAGGUCUCUUGCAUUUGAAUGCCUUCCCAAUGAACUGGGUUCAGUUUCCUCAGUUACCCGAAUUAAACUCUUUCAGGAUGGUUCCUUCUGUGGUUUUGGCCAAGGACUGGGGUUUCAAGCAGAUGUUGCAUAUUCCCAGUUGAAAUAGAUAUUAGUGAUAGCUGAGUCUUACACAUACAGUGUAAAGGCCCUUGUAAAGGUUUUUGGACACCCUAACAUUUCUGAAACUUUAUUUUUAUUAUUUCUCACCCCCUCCCUGUUCUCACAACAUGUGAUUUAGCUGGAGGAAUACUUUUGUCGGUUUUGCAUGAUCCACUUACGAGAAAUACAGAAAACCCAUGAAGAUAUGAACGAUUUUCUCUUAAGUGCUCAAGCAACAGGCAGCAAGUAGUAAACAGCAAGUAGAGAACCAAAAGUAAGAUCAUUAACUUGCGUCUUCCACACUGUGCAAAUGAAGGACAGAAAAUUCCUAGGAAAAUCUCUGGGAAUUUAGCUGCACUUCCUUAACUCCAGUGUGAGGACAGUGUUCUGUCUAGGUAAGGUCCCAUUUGGACUUCUCAUUUGACAUGGGAUUGUAUU
Prinia subflava (tawny-flanked prinia) is the source of this 6338-nucleotide long non-coding RNA. RefSeq lists it as uncharacterized. Lineage: Eukaryota; Metazoa; Chordata; Aves; Passeriformes; Cisticolidae. The transcript has 12 exons. The record is from RefSeq and is a predicted model, not a curated record.